GACGAACGCUGGCGGCGUGCUUAACACAUGCAAGUCGAACGGAAAGGCCCUGCUUUUGUGGGGUGCUCGAGUGGCGAACGGGUGAGUAACACGUGAGUAACCUGCCCUUGACUUUGGGAUAACUUCAGGAAACUGGGGCUAAUACCGGAUAGGAGCUCCUGCUGCAUGGUGGGGGUUGGAAAGUUUCGGCGGGUGGGGAUGGACUCGCGGCUUAUCAGCUUGUUGGUGGGGUAGUGGCUUACCAAGGCUUUGACGGGUAGCCGGCCUGAGAGGGUGACCGGCCACAUUGGGACUGAGAUACGGCCCAGACUCCUACGGGAGGCAGAAGUGGGGAAUAUUGCACAAUGGGCGGAAGCCUGAUGCAGCAACGCCGCGUGCGGGAUGACGGCCUUCGGGUUGUAAACCGCUUUCGCCUGUGACGAAGCGUGAGUGACGGUAAUGGGUAAAGAAGCACCGGCUAACUACGUG
This 468-nucleotide ribosomal RNA is filed under the name uncultured bacterium. RNAcentral describes it as "partial 16S ribosomal RNA". It matches the Rfam family "Bacterial small subunit ribosomal RNA", at positions 28 to 507 of the family's 1533-position model. The record is from RNAcentral.